CUUGACCAAGAUACAUGCCCAAGUGUUUUCUUCUAUUCCAGAUCCUAAGUCGAAUACAGGUACACACAAGCUGCUUCCUGGUGAUUGGGUUAUGGUCAAGAAGUUUCUCAGGAAACACACCCUAGAACCGAGAUUUGAUGGUCCUUAUCAAGUGCUCCUGAUUACAGCAACGUCAGUUAAACUAGCCGGGAAGAGUUCUUGGAUACACGCUUCACAUUGCAAGAAAGUGCCUGCUCCAGAAGAGGCUAAUUCUGCUGAAAUAUGAAUUUAUUAUGUGUCUUGUGUUUUCUUAUGCUGCUACACUUUGCCUGGGCCCAACAAGUGGCCAUAACCAAAGAUAAUCAUGUUUAC
Molecule: non-coding RNA, 351 nt
Organism: Pelobates cultripes (western spadefoot toad)
Lineage: Eukaryota; Metazoa; Chordata; Amphibia; Anura; Pelobatidae
Source: the annotation of a GenBank genome assembly